GUUCCCCACAAACAUGCCCUUAACCUCAGCUUGGACUGAGGAUUUCAACAUUCACUUUAACAAAUUAUAUUAAACAUUUUUUUUAAAGCAACAAACAUUAGGAGGCAAAAAAGGGAAAAAGCUACGAUCUCGCCUUUAUAUACGACCCAUCAUGUGCCCUCAGGCCUAUAACCACACCUCCCUUACUCGCUCUUUCUUUACUAAGCCACUUACCUCUUUGCUUUUGAGCACAAAUUCUAGCUUAAGCCGUGCUACUUAUAUUUUCACUUUCUUCGUACAUUAAUUAUAUCAAAGAUGAUUGCCGGCGACCUCCGAGGAUUAGUUGACGUCGGCCGAAAACACAAAGGAAGCGGUGGUUGGUGGUGGUGGUGGCAUGGCGACGAAUGGUUCUUUUGUAAAUACGGGUGAAAGAAUGGACAAAAAGAAACAAACAAGGCUUUGCAAUUGCGCUCUCCUGAGUUUCUAGCCUAGUAAAGAGGCAGAAUUGGGAGAGCGGCAUCAUUGCAUUGCGGGGAAUUGAGGGUAGCGGUCCGAUUUUACUUUAACUCUGGUUCUCUAAUAAUCCUUUUCUUCUUGGUUCCUUGUUUAAUCUCGAAUCUUGUGUUUCUUUCUUUUCUUUACUCUUUUCAUCUGUAUCUUCCCUUAUUUGACUGCUUUUUCCUUUAUUUAGGAUUAUUCUUAAUAUUUAUGAGAUGAACAUGGGAUGUAAGAGAUGCAUACGAAGUAGCUAGCUAGCUCGUUUAAGGUCGUACUUAAAAGUGUAGGAUUUUGAGUUUGGGGUUUCGGAUUGGAGUUUGGUUUUGGGGUUUUGGUAGUUUUAUGUAUAAAAUGCUGCUGGGCAUGCAUCACUUACAACUAUCAUGUAUUUUCUUUUCUAUUAUAGACUUGGUAAUGUUUCUCUGUCUCUGGCUGCACAGUUUGCCAUAUGAAUUAGCACUUGGUGUAAAUUUCGGGUUUCCAUUUUGUUCAGUUGGCCCAACUUGCCUAUAAUUAUCCCUUUUCCGAUCUCCGUCUUAAUCGCUGGCUUAUAAAAAAUAAAAGAAAUAUGUUUUGGCCUGUAAAGCUUGGUGAUUUCUAAGGAAAUGCUUGGCAAUCAGACUUGUCCUUUUCAGCAUGGGAAUCACUAAGCAAGAUGUUUGACUGCUGCUAUUACUUUAUUUUUCUGAAACCCUUUUGCAGGAGGAUUCAUUUGCUGCUACUUCAGACGAUAGCACACUGGUCAGUUGGUCAUCGAUUCUUUUAGACCCUGGUGCUAAUUUAGAUCUAUUAUGCGGAUAAUCAAACCUAUUUUAGGCUCUUCGAGUAUGUUUGGUAUUGUAAUUGGAGCGACAAAUGCAAUUUUAAAUAAUAUAGAAAUUGUGAUUAUAUUUCUCGAUUAAAGUGAUUUUGUUCAUAAUAACAAAAGUAAGUAGGAAUUUCGAUUGCUAUAACUUUUAAUCGCAAUCUCAAUGUUAAAUUGGACCUAAAUACUCUUGAAAAAAAAAACAUUUGUAAUUUCUUAAAAAAUGAAAAAGAAGGAAAUUAUUGACCAGUGGUAGAUUGACUCAACUGAUAAGGUUGUCCCCAUCACGUAAGUGGUUUUUGUUCAAGCCUUACUAAUGAUCUCUCUUGGCCUAUCCAGUUAGAAA
This 1628-nucleotide long non-coding RNA is filed under the name Theobroma cacao (cacao). Its description in RNAcentral is "long non-coding RNA (TCAC_LNC001071)". The record is from RNAcentral. Lineage: Eukaryota; Viridiplantae; Streptophyta; Magnoliopsida; Malvales; Malvaceae.